CAGAGGGUAGUUUAGUGAAAAUAUUAAUUUUGGGGAUUAAAGAUAAAAAUUUAAAUUUUCCUCUGA
This 66-nucleotide transfer RNA is filed under the name Parapotamon spinescens. RNAcentral's name for it is "tRNA-Pro". Lineage: Eukaryota; Metazoa; Arthropoda; Malacostraca; Decapoda; Potamidae. The record is from RNAcentral.